RNAcentral lists this ribosomal RNA (389 nucleotides) under uncultured Alphaproteobacteria bacterium. RNAcentral describes it as "bacterial SSU rRNA". It matches the Rfam family "Bacterial small subunit ribosomal RNA", at positions 527 to 916 of the family's 1533-position model. The record is from RNAcentral. Lineage: Bacteria; Pseudomonadati; Pseudomonadota; Alphaproteobacteria.
GGAGGGGGUUAGCGUUGUUCGGAAUUACUGGGCGUAAAGCGCGCGUAGGCGGAUUAGAAAGUGGGGGUGAAAUCCCGGGGCUCAACCUCGGAACUGCCUCCAAAACUGCUAGUCUAGAGUUCGAGAGAGGUGAGUGGAAUUCCGAGUGUAGAGGUGAAAUUCGUAGAUAUUCGGAGGAACACCAGUGGCGAAGGCGGCUCACUGGCUCGAUACUGACGCUGAGGUGCGAAAGUGUGGGGAGCAAACAGGAUUAGAUACCCUGGUAGUCCACACCGUAAACGAUGAAUGCCAGUCGUCGGGUAGUAUAUCAAUUCGGUGACACACCUAACGGAUUAAGCAUUCCGCCUGGGGAGUACGGUCGCAAGAUUAAAACUCAAAGGAAUUGACGG